CAUCUUGAUGCGGUUUGUAAGGCGAAUAUAGCAAAAUUUCGACGCCAGAACACAGGACAAAGAAAUCAGAGCUCUCUUUCUCAUCUGCUUGCAACCUUUUUUGAAAAGUUUACCAGUCCUUCCCUUACUAGUGCUGUUAUAUCCACGUACGAGGGUCGGCUCAAGGAAAUCCAGGACUUGCCCUAUCGGAUGACCUCUCACAGCUUGUUUGUCGAAGAUCCAUUCGAGAGGCAUGAGAAUGCAGCUAGAACUGUAGAUAGAUCGGAAAUUCACCGUAUCGCAAGAGCCUUCGAUCAUGCCAAUUCUGUCUUUGCAGGCGAUGGGCUCGCCAACCGGAAUGAACUACUUUCGCUCUUGUGUACACCUGAAGUGGCAAUACAAGCAGGUGCAGAAGGCAUGGCUACCUGACCGUUAUGCAUACACAACGAUCUGAUCAGGUUUUGCAGGGAUGGUAUAAUUCAGGCACGUGCAGAUGAACUACACCCAAGUUAGCAUCAGAGAUAGAAAAAUGCUCUUCAGAUGGA
Lolium perenne is the source of this 524-nucleotide non-coding RNA. Lineage: Eukaryota; Viridiplantae; Streptophyta; Magnoliopsida; Poales; Poaceae. The record is from RefSeq and is a predicted model, not a curated record.